RNAcentral lists this ribosomal RNA (762 nucleotides) under uncultured phototrophic eukaryote. Its description in RNAcentral is "bacterial SSU rRNA". It matches the Rfam family "Bacterial small subunit ribosomal RNA", at positions 26 to 819 of the family's 1533-position model. The record is from RNAcentral.
GGAUACGCUGGCGGCAUGCUCACACAUGCAAGUUGAACGGGUUUAAGUCUAUUAAACUUAAACAAGUAGCGGACGGGUGAGUAACGCGUAAGAACCUACCUUUAGGUAAGGAAUAACUAUUGGAAACGAUAGAUAAUACCUUAUAAGCUUAUAGUAAAAGAUAAAAUCGCCUAAGGAUGGGCUUGCGUCUGAUUAGCUUGUUGGUGAUUUAAAAGAUUCACCAAGGCAACGAUCAGUAGUUGGUCUAAGAGGAUGAUCAACCACACUGGGACUGAGACACGGCCCAGACCUCUACGGAGGGCAGCAGUGAGGAAUUUUCCGCAAUGGGCGAAAGCCUGACGGAGCAAUGCCGCGUGGAGGAUGAAAGCUUGUGAGUCGUAAACUCCUUUUCUUAGUGAAGAAAUAAGACGGUAUCUAAGGAAUAAGCAUCGGCUAACUCCGUGCCAGCAGCCGCGGUAAUACGGAGGAUGCAAGCGUUAUUCGGAAUUAUUGGGCGUAAAGCGUCUGUAGGUGGUUUUUUAAGUCUACUGUUAAAUAUUAAGGCUUAACCUUAAAAAAGCGGUAUGAAACUAAAAAACUUGAGUUUAGUAGAGGUAGAGGGAAUUCUCGGUGUAGUGGUGAAAUGCGUAGAAAAUCCAAAAGAACACCGGUAGCGAAAAGCGCUCUAUUGGGCUUAAAACUGACACUUGAGAGAAGAAAGCUAGGGGGGGCAAAUACGAUUAAGUACCCUAAGUAUUCCUUGAGUGUAACGAUGAUCUAAGG